This 495-nucleotide long non-coding RNA is filed under the name Hordeum vulgare. RNAcentral's name for it is "long non-coding RNA (HVUL_LNC014039)". Lineage: Eukaryota; Viridiplantae; Streptophyta; Magnoliopsida; Poales; Poaceae. The record is from RNAcentral.
CCUAGCUCUAUUACUUGUUCGUUUAUCGCUCGAUGAGAUAAUACCGAUCGUCCUCACGAUCUACAGGCGUGAGCGCAAGAGUAGGGCCCCGAUCUACAAUACUAACCCUAACUGCACAGCAACCAGCCCGUAGCUACACUCUGACUAUGCAGCAGAGGACCGACGACACGACGCGCAACACUAGGAGGCACGGCAACAACUACAGCAGGUGAGUAGGACAGGCACACGGCUGUGUUCGGGCGACGAAAUCAACUUAACCAAAUCAAUCUUUAAAUUAACUAAUCUGGAGUGACUACAUCCUUCAGGACAGAUGCUAAAUUGCUCGUUGCUACUUGCUUUCUUCUUUUUUCAAUCAUAGAAAUACUAAUCAAGGUGCGUCGUCUUUGUCAAAUCAAUCUGGGCAUGAUUGCGUCUCGCCUCCAGGCUACUCGACACUCCUUUAGUCCAUCUUGCCUCGUCCCGGAACAAUUCAGCCAGGCAAGUUUCAGGUCCAUG